UUCCUUGUAGCUCAGUUGGUAGAGCAUGGUGUUUGCAACGCCAGGGUUGUGGGUUCGAUUCCCACGGGGGGAC
RNAcentral lists this transfer RNA (73 nucleotides) under Salmo salar (Atlantic salmon). It matches the Rfam family "tRNA". Rfam says of the family: Transfer RNA (tRNA) molecules are approximately 80 nucleotides in length. Lineage: Eukaryota; Metazoa; Chordata; Actinopteri; Salmoniformes; Salmonidae. The record is from Rfam by way of RNAcentral.